GUUUUUCACUCUAUUCUUAUAGAGAAGUGUUAUAACCCCCAUAAUUCUAGAGUUUAAGUGCAAGUUAUAGACACCCUUAUUGGGUUGUCCUUGUUACUGCAUCCAUUUUCUUUCUGAAGGUGGCUUAAACUUCCUCUUUAAUUUGUAGACUUGUAUUUACAUAUAACACAAAAAAGAAAAGGAAGAAAGAUAAGUAACACAGCACUUUUCCUUUUUGUUGCCUCUGAAAUAUUUCUUCAGCCAGUGUUGCUACUUAAGAUUUUUACUGGUCACUGAGAUCUCAUUGUUGUUGAACUAUUUGUUUUCUUUUUAGAAGCUA
This 319-nucleotide unclassified non-coding RNA is filed under the name Hevea brasiliensis (rubber tree). The record is from RNAcentral. Lineage: Eukaryota; Viridiplantae; Streptophyta; Magnoliopsida; Malpighiales; Euphorbiaceae.